UACGUAGGGUGCAAGCGUUAUCCGGAAUUAUUGGGCGUAAAGAGCUCGUAGGCGGUUUGUCGCGUCUGCUGUGAAAACUGGAGGCUCAACCUCCAGCCUGCAGUGGGUACGGGCAGACUAGAGUGCGGUAGGGGAGAUUGGAAUUCCUGGUGUAGCGGUGGAAUGCGUAGAUAUCAGGAGGAACACCGGUGGCGAAGGCGGAUCUCUGGGCCUUACCUGACGCUCAGGUGCGAAAGCUAGGGGAGCGAACAGG
This 253-nucleotide ribosomal RNA is filed under the name uncultured bacterium. Its description in RNAcentral is "partial 16S ribosomal RNA". It matches the Rfam family "Bacterial small subunit ribosomal RNA", at positions 524 to 776 of the family's 1533-position model. The record is from RNAcentral.